This 510-nucleotide ribosomal RNA is filed under the name uncultured bacterium. Its description in RNAcentral is "partial 16S ribosomal RNA". It matches the Rfam family "Bacterial small subunit ribosomal RNA", at positions 28 to 507 of the family's 1533-position model. The record is from RNAcentral.
GACGAACGCUGGCGGCGUGCUUAACACAUGCAAGUCGAACGAAGAGCGAUGGAAGCUUGCUUCUAUCAAUCUUAGUGGCGAACGGGUGAGUAACGCGUAAUCAACCUGCCCUUCAGAGGGGGACAACAGUUGGAAACGACUGCUAAUACCGCAUACGAUCUAAUCUCGGCAUCGAGGAUAGAUGAAAGGUGGCCUCUACAUGUAAGCUAUCACUGAAGGAGGGGAUUGCGUCUGAUUAGCUAGUUGGAGGGGGAACGGCCCACCAAGGCGAUGAUCAGUAGCCGGUCUGAGAGGAUGAACGGCCACAUUGGGACUGAGACACGGCCCAGACUCCUACGGGAGGCAGCAGUGGGGAAUCUUCCGCAAUGGACGAAAGUCUGACGGAGCAACGCCGCGUGAGCGAUGACGGCCUUCGGGUUGUAAAGCUCUGUUAAUCGGGACGAAAGGCCUUCUUGCGAAUAGUGAGAAGGAUUGACGGUACCGGAAUAGAAAGCCACGGCUAACUACGUG